AUCAAGGAUCUUAAACUUUGCCAGAGCUACAAAGGCAAAGUUUAAGAUCCUUGAAGU
RNAcentral lists this microRNA precursor (57 nucleotides) under Gorilla gorilla (western gorilla). RNAcentral's name for it is "microRNA ggo-mir-561 precursor". Its record names the gene ggo-mir-561. The record is from miRBase by way of RNAcentral. Lineage: Eukaryota; Metazoa; Chordata; Mammalia; Primates; Hominidae. RNAcentral also lists the same sequence under 4 other names.